CAAAAACCCAUUCACAGAACAUGGACCGACCACGGACAGACUCGCAGCAAACAACACGUGGGUGCGGUGGCACGCGUACAUGUACAUGUACGCACACGUCAUGUUCGUACGUAGGGCCUAGUCAAUUUCCACCUCCAUGAGUAUCCCUCAGCACAUUUUCGCGAAGAAAUUAGUCUUUGAGGAAUCGCUGGCACACCUACAUGAUGACAUUGAUGUAGAGGAAGUCAUAAGAGAAGAUGAUGGAGCAAGGAGUGGGCAGCAUCAGUGGAGAGCACAGAACCUGAUGUUUAGAUUUGGGAAGGCCUCAUUACCAGGUGAAUGUACUCCCAUGGCUGCCUACAUGUACAUGAACGUUGAGGGUGGCUAGCAUCAUGGUGCAAGUGGACUGACCGAUGAAAUCUCCAAAGUGAAGAGGCAGGUUACGUCAUAAGUAGUACCUUCUUCCUCAUACGAAAGCUGUGGGUAUGCCCUAAGAGAAGUAGACCAUGGUGCGCCAUUGCCUCCUUCAACCUGGAGAGAAGGAAGAUAGAGGACAAGAUCCUAUGGGACUUCAGAGAGAUGAUUCAUGAGAAUGUC
Molecule: long non-coding RNA, 576 nt
Organism: Acanthaster planci (crown-of-thorns starfish)
Lineage: Eukaryota; Metazoa; Echinodermata; Asteroidea; Valvatida; Acanthasteridae
Source: RefSeq, a predicted model, not a curated record